This 497-nucleotide ribosomal RNA is filed under the name uncultured bacterium. RNAcentral's name for it is "partial 16S ribosomal RNA". It matches the Rfam family "Bacterial small subunit ribosomal RNA", at positions 28 to 507 of the family's 1533-position model. The record is from RNAcentral.
GAUGAACGCUGGCGGCGUGCCUAAUACAUGCAAGUCGAGCGAACGGACGAGAAGCUUGCUUCUUUGAUGUUAGCGGCGGACGGGUGUGUCACACGUGGAUACUCUACUUAUAUGACUGGGAUCAUUUCGGGACACCGGAGAUAAUACGGGAUAAUAUUUUGCACCGCAUGGUUCAUAAGUGAAAGUCGGCCUUGCUGUCACUAAUCGAUGGUUCCCAGCUGCUUUAGCUAGUUGGUAAGGUAAAGGCUUUUGAAGGCUACGAUGCCUAUCCGACCUGAGAGGGUGGUCGGCCGCACUGGAACGUGGACACGAUCCAGGCGCCUACGAUAGGCAGCAGUAGGGAAUCGGCCGCAGUGGUCGGAAGCCUGACGGAGCAAGGCCGCGUGAGUGAUGAAGGUCUUCGGAGCGUAAAACUCGGUUAUGAGGUAAGAACAGAUGUGGAAGUAACUGUGCACAUCUUGACGGUACCUAAUCAGAAAGCCACGGCUAACUACGUG